This 460-nucleotide ribosomal RNA is filed under the name uncultured bacterium. Its description in RNAcentral is "partial 16S ribosomal RNA". It matches the Rfam family "Bacterial small subunit ribosomal RNA", at positions 338 to 795 of the family's 1533-position model. The record is from RNAcentral.
CCUACGGGUGGCUGCAGUGAGGAAUAUUGGUCAAUGGACGAGAGUCUGAACCAGCCAAGUAGCGUGAAGGAUGACUGCCCUAUGGGUUGUAAACUUCUUUUAUAUGGGAAUAAAAUGUUCCACGUGUGGGAUUUUGUAUGUACCAUAUGAAUAAGGAUCGGCUAACUCCGUGCCAGCAGCCGCGGUAAUACGGAGGUUCCGAGCGUUCUCCGGAUUUAUUGGGUUUAAAGGGAGCGUAGGUGGAGUGUUAAGUCAGUUGUGAAAGUUUGCGGCUCAACCGUAAAAUUGCAGUUGAAACUGGCAGUCUUGAGUACAGUAGAGGUGAGCGGAAUUCGUGGUGUAGCGGUGAAAUGCUUAGAUAUCACGAAGAACUCCGAUUGCGAAGGCAGUUCACUGGACUGCAACUGACACUGAGGCUCGAAAGUGUGGGUAUCAAACAGGAUUAGAUACCCGUGUAGUC